CCUACGGGUGGCAGCAGUGAGGAAUAUUGGUCAAUGGGCGCUAGCCUGAACCAGCCAAGUAGCGUGAAGGAUGACUGCCCUAUGGGUUGUAAACUUCUUUUAUAUGGGAAUAAAGUGCAGUAUGUAUAAUGCUUUGCAUGUACCUUAUGAAUAAGGAUCGGCUAACUCCGUGCCAGCAGCCGCGGUAAUACGGAGGAUCCGAGCGUUAUCCGGAUUUGGUGGGUUGAAAGGGAGCGUAGGCGGGUUGUUAAGUCAGUUGUGAAAGCUUGCGGCUCAACCGUACAAUUGAAGUUGAUACUGGCAGCCUAGAGUACUGUAGAGGUAGGCAGAAUUCGUGGUGUAGCGGUGAAAUGCUUAGAUAUCACGAAGAACUCCGAUUGCGAAGGCAGCCUGCUGGACUAUAACUGACGCUGAUGCUCGAAAGUGUGGGUAUCAAACAGGAUUAGAUACCCCGGUAGUC
This 460-nucleotide ribosomal RNA is filed under the name uncultured bacterium. RNAcentral's name for it is "partial 16S ribosomal RNA". It matches the Rfam family "Bacterial small subunit ribosomal RNA", at positions 338 to 795 of the family's 1533-position model. The record is from RNAcentral.